GGCUGUGUGGUCUAGUGGUAUGAUUCUCGCUCUGGGUGCGAGAGGUCCCGAGUUCGAUUCUCAGCUCAGCCC
Molecule: transfer RNA, 72 nt
Filed under: Perkinsus olseni
Lineage: Eukaryota; Perkinsozoa; Perkinsida; Perkinsidae
Rfam family: tRNA
About the family: Transfer RNA (tRNA) molecules are approximately 80 nucleotides in length.
Source: Rfam by way of RNAcentral